UGUCUCUUACACAGCCCCCCAC
Molecule: non-coding RNA, 22 nt
Filed under: Rattus norvegicus (Norway rat)
Lineage: Eukaryota; Metazoa; Chordata; Mammalia; Rodentia; Muridae
Source: RNAcentral